CAUGUGACAGGUCUGUGGGCUGAGGGCCACAGUGCUGGCGAGGGGGGGGGGGGCUGCCCAGAAAGCCUUGUGUGAAGUCUGAAGGCUGUGCAAGGCUGUUCUUUGUGUGGGAUGAGAUCCUGCUGGGAGCAUUCUGGUGUUUCAUUGGGGUACCGUGGGUUUAGUGGUAGUAAACAGGGCUGUGAGGAUCUUGCAUUUGAGUCGUCUUCUCCACCCACCUUUUGAUGUGCCUGACUUGCCAGUUGCUCCCGUUUUCCAGAACCUACUUCAGUGUACAAACCAGUCACGGCGGAUUAAAAUUCCCCGUCACCCUCCUGCCACUUCACUGCGAGCUGCAUGCCGCAGCUGCGAAGUUCCGAAUCUGCAGACAUGGCCGGCCGGCCUCAUCGGGCUCCGCGCUCGGGCCCAGGGCUCCAGGUGACUCUACUUCAGUGCUUUCCAGCUCCCACAAAUGCACGUGCAGCAGUCUGCAGACCACCUCUAUGACUGCCUCUAUGACUCACCUCACAGACACACCACCUUGAACACUUAAUUUGAUCUUUUCUGAUCUACUAGUAAGGUUGAUCUUUCUGGAUUUUAAAUUGGUCUCUCAAAAAAUGUACCACAUUUGAUCUUCUGCAAAUAAGAUAAGAUAAGAUACGACAAAGAUGUACUUUGUUAAUCCCAAGGGGAAAUUCAUUGAUAUCA
Paramormyrops kingsleyae is the source of this 687-nucleotide long non-coding RNA. RefSeq lists it as uncharacterized. The record is from RefSeq and is a predicted model, not a curated record. Lineage: Eukaryota; Metazoa; Chordata; Actinopteri; Osteoglossiformes; Mormyridae.